GAUGAACGCUGGCGGCGUGCCUAAUACAUGCAAGUCGAGCGAACAGAUGAGGAGCUUGCUCCUCUGACGUUAGCGGCGGACGGGUGAGUAACACGUGGAUAACCUACCUAUAAGACUGGGAUAACUUCGGGAAACCGGAGCUAAUACCGGAUAAUAUAUUGAACCGCAUGGUUCAAUAGUGAAAGACGGUUUUGCUGUCACUUAUAGAUGGAUCCGCGCCGCAUUAGCUAGUUGGUAAGGUAACGGCUUACCAAGGCAACGAUGCGUAGCCGACCUGAGAGGGAGAUCGGCCGCACUGGAACGGAGACACGGUCCAGACUCCUGCGGGAGGCAGCAGUAGGGAAUCUUCCGCAAUGGGCGAAAGCUUGACGGAGCAACGCCGCGUGAGUGAUGAAGGUCUUCGGAUCGUAAAACUCUGUUAUUAGGGAAGAACAAAUGUGUAAGUAACUAUGCACGUCUUGACGGUACCUAAUCAGAAAGCCACGGCUAACUACGUG
This 497-nucleotide ribosomal RNA is filed under the name uncultured bacterium. RNAcentral describes it as "partial 16S ribosomal RNA". It matches the Rfam family "Bacterial small subunit ribosomal RNA", at positions 28 to 507 of the family's 1533-position model. The record is from RNAcentral.